This 324-nucleotide ribosomal RNA is filed under the name uncultured eukaryote. Its description in RNAcentral is "partial 18S ribosomal RNA". It matches the Rfam family "Eukaryotic small subunit ribosomal RNA", at positions 1470 to 1796 of the family's 1831-position model. The record is from RNAcentral.
CCCUUAGAUGUUCUGGGCUGCACGCGCACUACACUGAAGCUAUCAACACGUUUUCCCUCCCUGAGAAGGGCGGGUAACCUUUUGAAUCAGCCUCGUGGUAGGGAUCGGGGCUUGCAAUUGUUCCCCGUGAACCAGGAAUUCCUAGUAGACGCGAGUCAUAAGCUCGCAUCGAUUAAGUCCCUGCCCUUUGUACACACCGCCCGUCGCUACUACCGAUUGAACGUUUUAGUGAGGCAUUUGGACCGACGCAUCUCAGUUUAACCGCUGGUUUGUGUUGGAAAGACUUCCAAACUUGAGCGUUUAGAGGAAGUAAAAGUCGUAACA